RNAcentral lists this small RNA (21 nucleotides) under Arabidopsis thaliana (thale cress). RNAcentral's name for it is "ATSL218510". The record is from RNAcentral. Lineage: Eukaryota; Viridiplantae; Streptophyta; Magnoliopsida; Brassicales; Brassicaceae.
AAAAUCCUCGCCGCCGCCACC